AGUAUCACGCCGGCAGAACGGACUACCCUGAUGAGGCAGAAUAUGGACUAAUACCCUGAUACUU
This 64-nucleotide transfer RNA is filed under the name Sinosolenaia iridinea. Its description in RNAcentral is "tRNA-Ile". RNAcentral also lists the same sequence under 1 other name. The record is from RNAcentral. Lineage: Eukaryota; Metazoa; Mollusca; Bivalvia; Unionida; Unionidae.